RNAcentral lists this long non-coding RNA (24986 nucleotides) under Medicago truncatula (barrel medic). RNAcentral describes it as "long non-coding RNA (MTRU_LNC000040)". Lineage: Eukaryota; Viridiplantae; Streptophyta; Magnoliopsida; Fabales; Fabaceae. The record is from RNAcentral.
GGUUGUUUUUUAAUUUUCUUCACUUGAUAACUGCAGCAAUUUUUGAGACUGUAAGGAGAAAGGAAGCAAUCAAAGAAGGAUAUUUGAAUGAUACUCAUGGAGUGUUGAAAAUGUCUGCAAUGUGGCUUGCACCUCAACUUUGUUUGGCUGGUAUAGCAGAAAUGUUCAAUGUUAUUGGCCAGAAUGAGUUUUAUUACAAAGAGUUUCCAAAGAGUAUGUCUAGUGUUGCUGCUUCCCUUUCUGGAUUGGCAAUGGGUGUAGGAAACUUGGUAUCCUCUUUAGUAUUGAGCAUUAUAGAAAGCACUACUCCAAGUGGAGGAAAUGAAGGGUGGGUUUCUGAUAAUAUUAACAAAGGUCAUUUCGACAAGUAUUAUUGGGUUAUAGUUGGAAUUAAUGCUCUAAAUCUAUUGUAUUACUUAGUAUGCAGUUGGGCUUAUGGACCUACAGUUGAUGAAGUAUCCAAUGUGAGUAAAGAAAAUGGUUCCAAAGUGGAAGAAUCAACUGAAUUCAAGCAUAUGAAUCCACACUUUGAUGACAAGGUUAGUGGUGAAACUAGUUCAAAGGAGAAAGAGUUAACUGAAUUCAAGAAUGGGGCCCAGGUUGAGAAAGUAUUCAAGAAUAGUGAACAAAGGGACUUGAAGGAGGAAGAUUUGUGAUAGAAGGCUUAUAUUUCGUCCAAUUCAUUUGGAGAAAUGUUAUAAACGCUUUUUUUAACACUCCUAACACCUCAUCUUUUAUUUGAUGAAAUUCACGUGGGACUCAUCAUUGUAUGAGGGAUUCAUUUUUAAAGCGUGGGAUCAACAUGUGUUUCAUCCAAUAAUAAAAUGGUGUUAGAGAGUGUUAGAAGAAUGUGUCCAUAACACUUCUCAUUCAUGAAUCUUUUUUAGGAAUUUUAGUUAGCAUAUUUUUUAUUUUAUUUUGGUAUAUUGUUAGUUAUUUUUGAAUUCUUAGGUUCUAAGAUUUUCUUAUGGGCUUUAAGAUUAUGACACAUGGAUGUGAUCAUUUAUUUAGAUUAGUAAGUAUUGUUAAUAAAUUUGAUUUGAUAUCUUUAUCAAUAUAGCAUUUGAUAUUAUAUAUAUAUAUAUAUAUAUAUAUAUAUAUUAUUCUGUCACUUACACCUAAUUAGAAAGAAUAAUAAUGAAUACUCCAUUGUCUAAUUUAUUUAAUAUAUUUUAGGAAAGUAAAUUAUUUACAACAAGGGAUGAAAUCAAUUCUUAAUUAACUUGUCAAAAAAAUCAAUUCUUAAUUAACAUCUUCAAAUUGAUGUGGUUGGUAAAUAAGCAUCAAUUUGCUAACAAGAAAUUGAUAACACCGGUGUCAAUAACCACCUUGCUAUUAAGUAGUCAUCAUGAGUGUCACGUUGAUUGACAAACGACUUUAAUAUGAUUGGUGCAUGCGUUCAAGAAAGAAAAGACUUUCAACAACUUGGAUGAACACUUGUGUUGUUGACUUAAAGAGAUAUCGGCCAUGUUUGAGGAAAUUCAAGUUCAACCAAAAGACCUUGAAAACAAAUUAUUUGCGAACAAGCAGCAAACAUGGCACGUUUACUCAUAUUCAGUAGAAGGUUUAGAGUCUCUUGCUUUUUACUUGUCAAUGAUAUCAAAGAAGAUCCAAGAAACAUGCACAACCCAGUGACACAUUGUUGAAUGUCAGAACACCCUCCCAGAUUAGCAUCAAGUAAGCACUCUGUUUAAGAGUUAUCCAAGUGGGAAAGAAUAUUCCACACUGAGUGGUUACUUAAAGUAGCAAAUUAUACGACGGACCAUUGUCAAAUGAAGAUGAAGAGGAAUGAUGUCAGUCUGUCAUAUUAUGUGUUUAGCAGUUAUUAGGAGUCACUUCACAAUUAUUUUAACAAGUUUAGUUGAGUUUUGUAACAAAUCAAAAGAAAGAUCAUGGAAAGGGUAAUGGUGCAUACAAAACUUUGGAACCAUGGCAAAUCACCCAAAAUAGACAACUAUGUGAUCAUGCUAUACUUUUUACUUGAUGUAUCAAAUGAUCCUUAAGGAUAUAGUCACUAUGGACGCUUUGGUGAGGAAAAAUGGAUAAAGGAAUGAAGAAAAAUAGAGGAACCGACUACUAGUACAUGCAUGAUGCGUGCUAUAAGCUGCGCGAUGCACAACUUAGGAGAAAUAAAAAAUAUUUAGUCAUUGGUACAUGUGUGAUUCAUGCUAAAAGUUGUGUGUUCUGCAACUGAAAUGAAAUCAGAAGUGUUUUGCCACUAGAGAUGCGUGAUGCACAUAAGGUUAUGUGUGUUGCGCACAUACAUUUCCGUAAAUCAAGUGACACAUGAUGAUGAUGAUAGGGAUUUGUAUUCACCUAACCCUGGCUAAUCGAUUAAUAUAUUUGUCGAUCACCUUAGUUUGUUGAUGAAUUCUCUUGCGUUGAUCUACCAAGCAUUCUUCUAUGCUAGAGGCAUGAGGCAUCUCCUACUCACAAACAUCCACAUUUUUUAAUAAAAUCAAAUACAUAAUUUUUUUUUUUUGGCAAAUCAAAUACUUGUUUUUUCCACAAGGCUAAAAUAAAACCAUGAAAAAAAAAUGAACAAAAAGAGAGCUACUCUCUCAAAAAGAAAAUUCCAUCUGCAUCACUUUGGAGGAGAUUCUGGAGGUUUACCGGAGAACACUCAUGUCGAAGAAACUCGACAUCAAAAGAGGCACUAGGCUUGGCAAAAAAAAUCCGCACAUUGAUUCCCAUCCCUAAGGGUGUGAUUGACCAUAACAUUUCCCCUGCUCCAAUAACUAUUUUAUGUCUUGGAUUAAAACGGCAUAAACAUGAAACCUCAUUGGGGGACCAUGGAGGAUGUUGAGACAAUGUAAAGAGUCAGAGUAACAAACAAAAUCAGUAAUGCCUAUUUCUUUGGCCAACAAGAGACCCUUAUAUAUGACAUAUGUAACGCCCUAUUUAUUCAUUUAAAUAUUUUGGUUGAUUUUGGUUGAUUUAAAGUCUUUUAUAUGACUUAUAUGAAUUAUGUUGAUUUUGUGGUGUGUUGUAUUUUAUUAAAUGUUAUAUUUUAUUAUUUAUUAGAAUAUGUGAGAAUUAGAAAUAAUGGGAGUUAAGUUAAGGAGUUAAGAAAUUGAGAAGUCAGAAAAACAUUUCACGUGAAAACAAGUUUUUGGGGGAGAAAAAGGGAGAAGAGCCAAGUGAAGAAUCGGAGAGAUCGUAGAGCUUCGUUUGUCAGAAUUAAUGUAAGGGUGAUACUAACUUUCAAUAAUUAUAGUGUAUGUAAAUUCUGAAAUUGAUUUAACAUGAUGGUUGUUCUUGGUUUUGGGAAUUAGGUUUUCCAUUGUUGAAUUUGAUUAGAAAAGUGUAGAAACCAUGGCAAUUGUGUUAAGAAUUGAUGUUCAAGUUGUAGAAUAAUCAUAGGUUAAGUUUCCUAUCAAAUUUGGGUUCAUGAAAAUUGGGAUUUUCGCUUGAAAGGUCGGUGUCUAAACGUUUUUGCAAAUAAGUGAUUAUGUGAGGUUUGGGAAAAUGAUUCUUGGGAUGGUUGAGACUUGAAUUUGCUGUAGAUUAAGAUAGAGCCAAGUGUCAGAAGCGUGUAGGCGAAAACGACAUCAAAUUAACGGUUUGAAUUUUACGCGCGAAAUGGUGAAAAUCGCACUUUUUGAGAAGCAGAUUUCUGGACCUGAUGCUGUCAAAACGUAUCACGAUUUUGCGAGCGUGGUACGAUUUUGUUGGCCGAAAGUUCAAUGGUUAUAAGCAUAAAAACGUGGCACGAUUUUCUAAAAUCGUGACACGAUUUUUGUGAAUCAGAUCCUUCUUAUUUCACUAUUUUUCACCCCUUUCCGCUUUGAACUGGGUUUUGGUGUAAACAUAAAAGUUUUAGAUAAUUUUGUUAGCUUUCCAAUGACUUUGGUUUGACUUGAAAAUGAUUUUUGGUUUUUGAGAUAUGAUGAAAAUACUCCAAGGAGGUCUUAGUGAAAUCUUAUGAAAAUUCAGCAUAACCGUUCUAAGUUAAUCUAAAACUUAUGGAAUAAUUCGAAACCUCAAAACUAGAAGUACCAUGAGUUCAAUUAAGGUGUUUAAGAUUAUUUAACCUAUGUUGUGAUGGAUCUAAUUUGGUUUGACGUGAAUAUCUUUGUUGGAUGAUUUAAUAUCUAUAUGAAUGUAUAUGUUGAUGAAUUUCGUUGUUAAGAGUCGUCCUAUCACAGUUGACCAAGUUGUGUAGUAAGUCAUAAUUAUUUAUGUACAAUUGUUGUUGUCGUUGUCAUUGUCUACGUUGUCGUUGAUGUUGCUGAGUUGUAUGCUGAUAUACACAAAGUUGAGUCCAUUGCAUACUCAUAAAUUGUUGAGGGCUUAUGCCCUGUGAAUGCUAGUUUAUUCAAAAAUGUUGAGGGCUUAUGCCCUGUGAAUGCCUUGUCAUUCAACACGUUAAUUUUAAGUUGAGGGCUCAUGUCUUGUCAUUCAAACUGUUGAGGGCUCAUGCCCUGUGAAUGCUCGUUCAUUCAAAUGCGUUAAAAUGGUACCACAUGCAUGUGCAUUGUCGCAUUUGUCGUUGUGUCGUUGCAUAGUCGUUGUUGUUGGUUGAGUUUGUAGGUGUUGUUAAUGUUGAUGAAAUAUGAAACAAGACUGUUGAAUUAUCCGUUGUUAAUUAGGUUGUUAAAUACAGUUGAUGAUUUAUAUACCUAUUAUUAUUGUUUGUGAAUCUCACCCCUUCUGCUUCGAAAUGUUGCUAUUCGUAUGGGUAACUUGCAGGUGAUCGAGAAUUGUUGAUGUUAGAUGAUGUCGUGAGUGGACCUUCUCUCAUGUGUGUCUUAGGUGCUCUGAUACGUAACGGGAUGAGAAUUUGUUAUCGCUUUCUGUUCCUUACGUAUUGUUUUAAGGACAUGUUGUUGGAACAAUUUUAUGAGAUUUAUGUUGAAGCCUUGGUGCCAAGUUGUUUAAAAGUUGAAUAAUUUCCGUUGCGAUGAAAUAAAUGAUACGUUGUUGAAUUUAAAGGAUGAAUAGUUAUUUAUUCUGUUUAUGAUUUUAUGAAAGAAGUGUGACAUUCCGUUUAUGUUGAAAAUACUUUGAUUUAUAUGUGAUUAUAUGUGAAAUUUUUAAGUUGGGAAAACGAGGUGUUACAACAUAGAGCUCAACAUACAAGAUAUCAUUUGAAUUUUGAAUGUAUCUAGAAAAUCCUCACAAGAAAAAAGAUGCAUAAUUUCUUAAAAUUCCUCCAUAACCUACUCUUAUAGGAGAUCCAAUACAACUUCCAUCAACAUUAAGGAUGACACAAAAAUGAUUAUUGUUGUUCCGCUUGAUGAAUUGGUCUUCAUCAGUAGUACUAAAGAUGGAAGGAUAACAAGCUUAGAGGGUAUCAACCAUACCUUGAAUGUUGAAGGAUAAUUUAGCAUUCGACCAGUUCUCGUUACCUAAGCACAUCAUGUUUCGAUUCCUCCAUGCCCACCAAAUUGUUGCUGCAAAAAGGAAAUAGUAAGGGCCCAUCAACCCAUUCUUAUGUGGUUUGUAUGGGCCAUUUAUUCAACAUUUCACGUGCCCGUCUUUCCACUCUUUUUAUUUCGCUAAUAUUUAAAAAUUAUUAACAGUAUUUUUUUUUUUUAUGAAAUUUUGAUUUGGAUUAAAACUAAAAAUAUGAAUGUUUGUUGCUUUCAAGUUAUAAUAAACUAAACUAACCAUGAUUAUUUAUUUCAAUGACACCAACAAUACAACAACAAAAAAAUAUAAUCCAAAUUCUUUUUUUUUAAUGAAACCAACAACAAUCUUUAUUAAAGAAAAAGUUGUUUAAGAGUAUAAUUGAGAUAAUGAAAAAGUAAGUAUAAAUAUACUCAUCUAGUUUGUUACACUUUUUAAAUGAUAAAGAAAAAAAAACCAUAUAUAUAUAUAUAUAUAUAUAUAUAUAUAUAUAUUCAUAUCGUGUUUUUUACAUUUUUUUAAUAUUUAAAUUUAUUCUUAUCUUUUUGUUAUGUGUUAUUUGUAUUCAAAAUUGAGGGCAUUUUUGAAAGAAAAAGUCAGCCCAAAAGAGUUGAAAAAUGAUUGUUUUAUUUUUAUAUAGCAUAGAUAUAUUACUACUCCCUUCAUCCCUGUAUGUAAGCACCCUUUGCAUUUUUCACAUUUCUUAAGCAAAAAUUGUUAGUGCAAUUAAUGCGUCUAUUUUGUGUGUUAAUAUUACUUAAUUGUCCUUUGUUUAUAUGUGUAUUAAAAUUUACUUUUUAUAUUUCAAGAUAAGUUAGUAGUAUUAAUUAUGGGUAUGUUAAGGAAUAAAAUCAUAAAUGCAUCUAAUAAUUUAAAAAAGAAUUUAUAUUUAAAGACAAAUUUUUAGUCAAAAGAAUACAGGAACAUACCACCACCUAAAAAAAAUUCUCAAAAUUUAGUGCAGGCAACGGCCUACAGACUUAUGUACAUGCAUAUGUCCCUGGUCCCAACAACCUUUUUUUUUUAGGGGACCCUACAACCUGUUAUUAUACUCCUUAAAAGAAAACCUGUUAUUAUAUCAACCAAAUGAAUGUCAAUGUUUUUUUUUUUUUGGUAAUGAAAUGUCAAUGCUUUAUUUCCUUUUACUUUUAAAUUUUGGUUAAAAUAUAAUUUUAGUCCCUUCAAAUAUGUCUCGUUUUGGUUUUAGUCCCUAUAAAAAAAAAAUGUUUUUGGUCCCUGCAAAAUUUUUUGUUUUUGAAAAUAGUCCCUGACCUCACUUUUGUGAUGAUUUGCAUACGUGGCACAUUAUAACUGAACAAAUUUUGUAGUUUUUGGUCCCUGCAAAAUAUUUUGUUUUUAAAAAAGGUCCCUGCAAAAUAUUUUGGUUUUAAAAAAGGUCCCUGCAGGGACCAAAAACAAUUUUUUUUUACAGGGACUAAAACCAAAACGAGGCAUAUUUGCAAGGGCUAAAAUCAUAUUUUAGCCUUAAAUUUUUAUUUACGUUUUUUUUUAUGAGUCAAGAUAGUAAGGAAGACAUCGAGAAAAGUUAAAUAUCUCAACUAAGUUGACACUUUAAAGCUUCUCUCAUCUUGUACCACCUGUUCGAAAAUUUUAUUAAAAAAAGAAAAACUGUAUAAGAGAGGGACUAAGCCAAAACCCUCAAAAACAUAAAACAAGAAUGGUAAAACAUAGAUAUAAGGGAAAUGGAAAUUCGGAAGACCAUGUAUGUCCCUAAAAAAAAUCCUUCCAAAGAAAAAUAGGUAAAAAAAACCCACCAAACGACAUUGAUAAUAACAUGACCAUGACUACCAGUAUUUUAAGAUGACCGUGUAUGUUAAGAUGAAUUUGGAUGACUUUUGGUUGAUGAUAUUGGGGCUUAUGAAGGUACUUUAUGUGAUUACAAAGGUUUUUUUUUAGGAUGUUUUGCAUCUAAUCUAAGACCUAUAUUCAAUCAUUGAAGCGGAAUUGAACAACAUGCUAAUGUUAUUAUUCUGUUAAAAAAAAAAAAAUUCGUACACAAGUUUUAACAUUUUUUCCUCUCUUUUCUCCUUUUCAAACUUUAGCCGUCGCGGAUUUUUUUAUUUAUUGAAAAGUGGUGAUUUAUGGUUAAUUUUGAUGCAAAUCACCCCUCUACAUUGUUUUUCUUUCUUUUAGUUAAAUAAAUGAUUUCCACAUACAUACCCUCAGACUUCAUUAGUUUAUUUUGUGAUUUCGUCGUUUUAGCACGACUUUGUUUGUUUUGAUUUUCCGUCUUUGUGCAAUGUAUUUUUUAUUUCCUAUCUGUGGUGUUUAUACGAUUUCAUGUUAAAAGAUUAGUUUUGAUCAAGUGCAGAUUCAAUCAAUGACUUUGAUAUCGUCAACGUUGCACAUCCGAGCAUAUGAGAAUUCCAUAUACUUGAAUAUAUUCAUAUAUCUUUUAGGCAUUGAAUAUAGUCAUAUUUGUAGGCAUAUCCAUUUUGCCGUUUUAUGUUAUCAACAUGGAUGAUCCUUAAAAAAACAUGGACGAUGCGAUUUUGUUUGCAAAUUCGUCUUUUUUAAUUUUUAGCGACUUUGAGUUUGUAUUAUAAUGAUAUACUCUAUCAAUUUAAAUGAAUGAAUAUCACGUUUUUUUUGUAAAAAUCAAAUAAAAUAAAGAAAGUGCAUACAUUAACAUUACACAUACACGCGCACACGCUAGGGUAACACUUCAAUGCCUUUGGCUUUGGUGCCUUUGGGUGCCUUUGUUCCUAUAUCUCUUAAUCAUUCAUUCAUUCUCAUCUAAAUAAUUUAUUUUAAUUAUUUGUCCAACAUUCUUUCUCAUCUAAAGUGAGGUACUCAAAGACACCAAAACCAAAGGCCCUACCAUACACUAGUGACCGGAUUGUGAAAAAAACCAAAUUGACAUCUUUUCAUUUCACACCUCUUCUUUCAAUAACAUUUCCCUUUACCUAAUUAUAUUUUUUUUAGUAAAACCAGUCGCUUUUUGUGCCAAAAGAAAGAAAACAAAAAUGGUUUCUUCAAAUAAAAUACUAUAAUAAUUUGCAUCCAUAUUGCUAGCUAGUAGCUACUUUAAAUUAACACUUCACUCUACUUGUCUUUCUAUAUAUAUCUUUUUGCAUCAGGAACAUUAUUAGUUACCAAUAAAAAAAAUGGACAAGGAACUUCAACUUUGUUCUGUUGAUGCUGCUGAUGAAGAAGAAAUGGUUUCUCAGCAAAAACCACAAAGAAGCAAGGGUGGUCUUGUCACCAUGCCUUUUAUCAUUGGUAUCUUAUCUAAUAUCUAUGAUUUGCAUGCAUUUUUAUUUUAUUUUUACUUUGAAUGAGCUUGAAUUUUUACGUAUAAUAUGGUUUUGUUGCUGUUGUGAUUGUUUUAUUUGCAGGGAAUGAAGCACUUGCUAAGAUGGCAAGUGUGGGACUAUUACCCAACAUGAUAUUGUAUUUGAUGGGAUCAUACAGACUUCACCUUGGCAUAUCUACUCAGAUACUUCUUUUAUCCUCUGCAGCUAGCAAUUUCACACCUGUGAUUGGUGCUUUUAUUGCAGAUUCUUAUCUUGGUCGCUUCUUAGGUGUCGGAAUAGGUUCUUCUAUCAGUUUCCUGGUAUGAUUUACUUUUUUUUAAUUCCAUUGUGUUUUUCUUAUCUUUUGACUUGAAUAUGCCCAUUAUUAAGUUUAAUUUUGGGAGUGAGUUGAAUAGAUUUGAAUAAUUACUCAAUACAAAUUUUCAACUACGAAAAAUGACAAAAAAUGAAGUUUUAAGCUGAAAAUGACACUUUUUUAACUAAGGAAUUGACUACACAUCUUCCAUAUACCAACAGACGCUUUUAGCAACGGCCAUAAAAUUCAUACAGUAUACGGUGUGUCCGAUAUAUUGAAGAUCAUAGCCUACUUAUAUUGAAUUCAUUCAAAUUAAUUAAAUAUUUAAUUAAUUAUUAUAGUAAUUAAAUAAAAUAUUCAUCAGAUAUAUUUCCUUGUAUGAAAAAGAAGCAUACAAAGGAAAAAUGUUCCACCAAACUUGGUAUAAUGAGAAAAUUUUGUAAUGAUGCUCUUUUUUGUUUGUUGUUAUAGGGAAUGUCACUGUUGUGGUUAACAGCCAUGAUCCCGGCGGCACGGCCUUCUGCUUGCAACCAUCCAUCUGAAGGUUGUGAAUCAGCAACACCAGGUCAAUUGGCAAUGUUAUUCUCUGCCUUAAUUCUGAUAGCAAUUGGAAAUGGUGGUAUUACAUGUUCUUUAGCAUUUGGUGCAGACCAAGUUAAUAGAAAAGAUAAUCCCAAUAACUAUAGGGUUUUGGAAAUAUUCUUCAGUUGGUAUUAUGCUUUCAUAACUAUAGCUGUCAUAAUAGCUCUCACCGGAAUAGUAUAUAUCCAAGAUCAUCUUGGUUGGAGAAUUGGUUUUGGUGUUCCAGCAGCACUCAUGCUUAUAUCCACUGUCUUGUUCUUUCUUGCUUCUCCACUUUAUGUGAAAAUUACACAAAGAACCAGCUUGCUCACUGGUUUUGCACAAGUAUCUGUUGCUGCCUAUAAAAACAGAAAACUUUCAUUGCCACCUAAAACAUCUCCUGAAUUUUACCAUCACAAGAAAGACUCAGACCUUGUUAUUCCAACUGAUAAACUAAGGUAUAUAGAAUCAAAUUACUAGCUAUACCAUCUUUUUAGCUUUUGUGUUUCGUGGUUAAAUAUAGACUAAUGAUGAAUACUUCCUCCAAUCUCUAUUAUAAGAGAAAAUUCACUUUUAAAGUUCAUUCAAUAAAUGAUGUAUAUGUAGUUUCUAAUAUACUCCCUCCGCUCUUAUUUAUAAGAAACAAUUGAUUUUUUUGAUUCAUUGAAUAAAUUAUGUAUUUGGUCUAUAUUUAGACAAGAUACAUCAAUUACUCAGUAAAUCUAAAAAGUCAAAAAUUUCUUAUAAAUAGGACCGGAGGGAGUAGACCAUAUAAAUCAUUUAUUGAAUGAAUCUAAAAAGUGAAUUUUCUCUUAUAAUAGAGACCAGAAUAGUAUAUAUCAGGUGUUGAAAUUUAUUAAUCAUCAAAAUAACUUCAUUAACCACAAAUUUGAAUGUGAUUAAGGAAAAUUUUCAAAGGUUCAAUAAAGUUACAUUGCUAGUUAUUGAGUUUCAACACAUGGUUUAUUCAUUCACCAUCUAUAAAUUGAGCAUAAUUAACCACUAAUUUGUACCAUGUUAAUGUUUAUGGUGUUGUUGCGAAAAUUGCCUAAACUUUGUUACACAAAAACCAUUUCCCAUAUUAAACAUUUGAUUUCAUUUUCAGGUUUCUAAAUAAAGCUUGUGUUAUUAAGGAUCAUGAACAAGAUAUAGCCUCAGAUGGUUCAGCGAUAAAUCGUUGGAGUCUAUGCACAGUAGAUCAAGUUGAAGAACUAAAAGCCAUUAUUAAAGUUAUUCCAUUGUGGUCAACAGCGAUCACAAUGUCUAUUAACAUUGGAGGCUCAUUUGGAUUGCUGCAAGCUAAAUCCUUAGACAGACAUAUCAUUUCAAGUUCAAACUUUGAAGUACCAGCAGGAUCUUUUUCUGUUAUCUUGAUAGUUGCAAUAUUAAUAUGGAUAAUUAUCUAUGAUCGUGUUCUUAUUCCUUUAGCAUCAAAGAUAAGAGGGAAGCCCGUAAUUAUCAGCCCAAAGAAAAGAAUGGGAAUUGGGUUGUUUUUUAAUUUUCUUCACUUGAUAACUGCAGCAAUUUUUGAGACUGUAAGGAGAAAGGAAGCAAUCAAAGAAGGAUAUUUGAAUGAUACUCAUGGAGUGUUGAAAAUGUCUGCAAUGUGGCUUGCACCUCAACUUUGUUUGGCUGGUAUAGCAGAAAUGUUCAAUGUUAUUGGCCAGAAUGAGUUUUAUUACAAAGAGUUUCCAAAGAGUAUGUCUAGUGUUGCUGCUUCCCUUUCUGGAUUGGCAAUGGGUGUAGGAAACUUGGUAUCCUCUUUAGUAUUGAGCAUUAUAGAAAGCACUACUCCAAGUGGAGGAAAUGAAGGGUGGGUUUCUGAUAAUAUUAACAAAGGUCAUUUCGACAAGUAUUAUUGGGUUAUAGUUGGAAUUAAUGCUCUAAAUCUAUUGUAUUACUUAGUAUGCAGUUGGGCUUAUGGACCUACAGUUGAUGAAGUAUCCAAUGUGAGUAAAGAAAAUGGUUCCAAAGUGGAAGAAUCAACUGAAUUCAAGCAUAUGAAUCCACACUUUGAUGACAAGGUUAGUGGUGAAACUAGUUCAAAGGAGAAAGAGUUAACUGAAUUCAAGAAUGGGGCCCAGGUUGAGAAAGUAUUCAAGAAUAGUGAACAAAGGGACUUGAAGGAGGAAGAUUUGUGAUAGAAGGCUUAUAUUUCGUCCAAUUCAUUUGGAGAAAUGUUAUAAACGCUUUUUUUAACACUCCUAACACCUCAUCUUUUAUUUGAUGAAAUUCACGUGGGACUCAUCAUUGUAUGAGGGAUUCAUUUUUAAAGCGUGGGAUCAACAUGUGUUUCACCCAAUAAUAAAAUGGUGUUAGAGAGUGUUAGAAGAAUGUGUCCAUAACACUUCUCAUUCAUGAAUUAUUAUUUUUUUUUAGGAAUUUUAGUUAGCAUAUUUUUUAUUUUUAUUUUGGUAUAUUGGUAUUUUCUUAUGGACCUUAUUAUGACACAUGGAUGUGAGCAUUUAUUUAGAGUAGUAAGUAAUGUCAAUAAAUUUGAUUUGAUAUCUUUAUCUAUAGCAUUUGAUAUGAUAUAUUUUACUUUCAGUUGUUACAUCGAAUUAGAAAGUAUAAUAACGAAUACUCUAUUAUCUAAUAUAUUUUAGGAAAGUAAAUUAUUUACAACAAUGACUGAAAUCAAUUCUUAAUUAACAUCCUCGAAUUGAUAUGGUUGCUCAAUAAACAUCAAUUUGCUUACAACAAAUUGAUAACAUAGGUGUCAAUAACCACCUUGCUAUUAAGUAGUCAUCAUAGGUGCCACGUUGAAUGAUAAACGACUUUGAUAUGAUUGGUGUGUUCAUGAAAGACAAGACUUUCAACAACUUGGGUGAACACUUGUGUUGUCGACUUAAAGAGAUAUUGGUCAUGUUUGAGGAUAUCCAAGUUCAACCAAAAGACCUUGAAAACAAAUUAUUUGCGAACAAGCAGCAGACAUGACACGUUACUCAUAUUUAGUAGAAGAUUUAGAGUCUCUUACUUGCUUUUUAUUUGUCAAUUAUAUCAAAGAAGCAAAGAAACAUGCACAAGUUUGUGACAGAUCGUUGAAUGUCAAAACACCCUCCUCCCCUCUGUUUAAGAGUUAUCCAAGUGGGAAAGAAUAUACCACAAUGAGAGGUUACGUUAAAGUAGCGAAUUAUACGACGAACCAUUGUCAAAUGAUGAUGGAGAGGAGUGAUGCCAGCAUGUCAUAUCAUGUUUUUAGCAGUUAUUAGAAGUCACUUCACAGUUAUUUUAACAAGUUUCAAUAUGUUUUAGUUGAGUUUUGUAACAAAUCAAACGAAAGAUCAUGGAAAGGGUAAUGAUGCAUACAAAACCUUGGAACCAUGACAAAUCACCCAAAAGAGACAACUAUGUGGUCAUGCUAUACUUUUCACGUGAUGUAUCAAAUGAUCCAAGAUAUAUAGAGGAACCGACUACUAGUAAAAAAAAAAAACUAAGAUUUUUACUUAAAUACCCUUGUCAUCAUAUAAUUGCUAAACCCUUUUCGGCUAUUACCAAAACCAUUUCGAUUCAGCAGCCACCGUCGUCCCUCUCUAACGUUCGUGAAGUGUGUCAUUCCCAAUAAUUAUUAAGGUAUUUUCAUUUAUUUAAUUUUCCAUACUUUAGCUUAAUCAUGUCUUUUAUUUAGCUGAUGAAUCCUACACAAAUGCUUAAACUAUUAAUUACUUCAAAUGUUUGUAUCAAAUGUUUGUUGUUGUCUUAUGUGGAUUGACUUAUUAGAGCUUAUCCAGCGGCAUGACAUGAAUAAUUGUUUCAGACAACUUAUGAAAACAGCUUAGGACAUUUUCAUAGGUUGUUUUCAGCUUAUUUUCAUAAGCUCACGGAGAUAGCUUAUACAUAUCAUGAUAGAUACUUAUGAUAUAAGCUGCAAAUUAACUGUACGUUUGGUUUCACUUUUGGAGGUGUUAAAAUUGAUUCUAGAUGUGUAGAAUUGAUUUUGACAUGUUUGGAUAUUGAUUAGUAGAAUUGAUUCUACUUGAAGCUAGAAUUUGUAGCUUCUUGCUUUUACAAUUGAUUUUAGCAUUGAAUUUAUUGUUCAAUUCAUUUUUUACACAAAUAUAUCCAAACAUAAAUCACUUUACACUCGACUAACAUUUAGUUAGAAUCAAUUUUACAAAAUUAGUUCAUUCAGAAUCAAUUUGUGUCUCUGUAGAACCAUACACAUACUAAGCUGUUUUUCCAAACAGGGCCUUAAGUUAUACUAUCAUAGUGAGUCCAUUGCUUGUUCUUCUCAUAUUUUGAUUUCAGUUUCCAACUGUCAUACUGGAUUCGAUAGUAGGUUUCAUCUGAGUUGUACUUUGGCUUAUUUUUUAGGUUUGUUUGUAAAAGAUGAGUUUAAUAUCUCAAAAUGCUCGCUCUAGAAAUGAGACCAAAAGAGAGGAGGACCUUAAGGCAAAAGAAGUUGAAGAUGGUCAAGAUUAUGAUGUUGAUACCGUAGAAGUGAAAAAGAGGAAGUUAGACGGAAAGGAAGAACAUUUGGCAAAAGAACAAGUUAAAGAGAUGAAAAAACUUGAGAGCUUUUUGUUUGGGUCUCUCUACUCCCCUCUUGAAUUUGGAAAUGGGGAUGACGAUGAAGGGGAAGCCAUGACUGCUGCAAAGGCUUCCAAUUUGUUCUUCACUGACCGUUCUGCUGAUAGUGGCCUCACUGUUUACCAAGAAGAUUCUGACUUCUCGGAUGGAAGUUGUGGUGACGAUGCUUUGCGAAAAAAGCCGGUUUGGGUGGAUGAGGAAGAAGAGAAAGUCACUGUUAACAUAGCCAAAGUUAACAGAUUAAGGAAGUUAAGGAAGGAAGAGGACGAGAAUGUGAUAUCUGGUUCAGAGUAUGUGUCAAGAUUGAGGGCUCAACAUGUGAAGCUCAACCGAGGAACUGACUGGGCCCAGCUUGAUUCAGGGUCAAAAAUGGAUGGAUCUUCUGAUGAUGAAUUGACAGAUGAUGGAAAUAAUGUUCUUGUGAGCCGAGGUUAUGAGGAUCUGGAUGAUAUUCUCAGAACAAAUGAAGACUUGGUUGUGAAGAGCAGCUCAAAAUUGUUGCCAGGUCAUAUUGAAUACUCGAAACUUGUAGAUGCAAACAUUCAGGAUCCUUCUAAUGGUCCCAUUAAUUCGGUUCAGUUCCAUCGAAAUGGUCAGCUGCUUCUUGCUGCUGGAUUAGACCGGAAUCUUAGAUUCUUUCAAAUCGAUGGCAAACGGAACACCAAAAUUCAAAGCAUCUUCCUUGAAGAUUGCCCCAUUCGAAAAGCAUCUUUCUUGCCCGAUGGGUCUCAGGUGAUAAUAUCUGGAAGAAGAAAGUUCUUUUAUAGUCUUGAUUUAGUUAAGGCUAGAGUUGAUAAAAUUGGUCCGCUGUUGGAUAGGGAAGAGAAGAGUAUUGAAGUUUUUGAGGUCUCUCCUGAUUCCAAAAUGAUAGCCUUUGUGGGUAAUGAAGGUCAUAUUUUACUGGUUUCAACAAAAUCAAAGCAAUUAGUUGGUACUCUGAAGAUGAACGGAACAGCCCGUGCGUUAGCUUUUACUGAAGAUGGACAAAAGUUGUUGAGCACUGGUGGCGAUGGCCAUAUUUACCAUUGGGAUCUGAGAACAAGGACUUGUAUGCACAAAGGUGUAGAUGAAGGCUGUUUAAACGGCACAGCCAUUUGUACUUCUCCAGUAGGGACACAUUUUGCAGCUGGUUCGGCCAGUGGAGUUGUGAAUAUUUACAAUAGUGAGGAAUUUCUCGGGGGAAAGAGAAAACCUAUCAAGACCAUUGAUAACCUGAAUACUGAAGUGGAUUUCAUGAAAUUUAAUCAUGACUCUCAAAUAUUAGCAAUCUGUUCAAGGGCAAAGAAUAGUAGUUUGAAAUUAAUACAUAUACCAUCCUACACUGUUUUCUCUAACUGGCCUCGUUCAAAUGCGAGCCUGCAUUAUCCCCGUUGUAUUGAUUUUAGUCCAGGUGGUGGUUUUAUGGCUGUAGGAAACGCAUCAGGCAAAGUGUUACUCUAUAAGUUGCAUCAUUAUCACCAUGCCUAAAGUAGAUUAGAAAUACUGGCAGAGUUUUUGUUGUCUUUUCUUUAUUUGAAGUGUUGUAACAUUUUUGAGACUUGAGUUGUAUUCUAUCAUUAAUUAAUCAACAUUUUUUUCUGCGUCAAAUAACCAGAACUUCAUCUGUUGUCUUGUAUUUUCUUACGCCUACUCAAUCUGUAUAUGAAAUGCACAUGCUUUUGUUUACUCCCCCUUCCCAACUUAGAUUCAGCGAUAAUGGGGGACUGCGAUAGCUGGAACCCGAAGACCAAGUGCAGCGGCAUUUGUGUGAAAAAUGUGUCCCCCUUGGAUUUGCCCAACCAUGGUUUCACUGCUAAUGUUAUAUGCCGCGGACAUUUGUGGUUAAUAUUGUCUACAUGUCAGAUUUAUUUUCAUAGUAAAACCAUAUAAACAUGGGAUAUGUGAUUGAACGAUCAUGACUUAAACUUUAUCAUUCAUUUUGACGUAAUUUCAUUAUAUAUGACAAUUUAGAAUGAGAAAGCGAUAUUCGACUGUUUAUCGGUUUAAAGCUUCCUUCAAAAGCAUAUAUAUAAUUCAAGAGUGGAUAUGAGAAUCAACAGGGGAAUUACAUUUUUUUUUUUUUCCUUAUGCGAUUGCAGUUGUUUUUUACGGAAGGGAUUACAUAGUUUUAUUGCUCAUAAUCUGCUUUUCACUUUUAGGGAGAGAGUGAAAGCUAAUAAAAGAGGACAUAUAUAUGGCGAGAGUUUUAAAAGAGAACACAUGAUUCUUAAAAGUAAAUAAUUCUUAGCCUUUAGAUUAAUAAAAAAAAAUAAAGGGAUAGAAUUCGAAGUCAAAUUUGACACAUUGUGACAAUUGAUCCUAUAUGUACAUGAGUGUGUGAGUGCGCAUGUGUGCUGAACGAUCAUAACACCUUCAUCAAUUUGAUAAGUAGUGUUCCAUUUUAAAACUUUGACAAUGACAUGCCUUCACUUAUCUAGAUGUUGGUAGUUUGUAUUGACGUUGUUUGGAGUUGCAUAUUGUUUAGGUUCUCAAACUCUUGGGUGUAUAUAUGUGUUUGAAUACACUCAUCUUUUAAAUAUAUUUUUAAAAUGAGAUUUAAAUUCAUUUAAUAUGAUUGAAGUCGGGGUUGGUAGAAUGGUAUAGUCAUUGUUUUCUUGUUUAACAUGAUAGAUUAAGGAAUAACCAUUGGUUCCACUAAAGCAUUAUCUUGAAAUAUCCUAUAUAUCAAAAUGAUUUUUUUUAUUAGACCAAAAUGAUCUUAAACAUGCUUUUAAUAUUUUCAGGAAGCUUUAUUUUUAGGGGUGUAACAGUUUGAUUUGAAUCGAUUUUCAGUAAAAUAAUAUCGAUCCCAUGUUUAAUUUGAUUCAAUUUUCACCGUUUUAAAAACUGAAAUCAAACCAAACUAACCGGUUUAAUUCGAUUUGCUUCGGCCUGUGGAUCUGUUUGGUGCCACUAAAAUACAAAUUUUAUUUACCAUUUCAACUUCACUAAAUUUUGAUGCAAAUAAUUUAUUCAAAGAGAAGAGUCAAUGAACGUAUUUAAACUCAUAAUUGACACUUAGGCUCUAAAAUCAAGGCACAAAACAAGUAUAAUGCAACUCACUCCAAAUAUUUUCCAAAAUUUUCAUAACAUCCAAUCAGGAUAGAUAUUAAAUGUCAAGUUUAAUUAGGAUUUAGAGUUGAGACCCCUUUUCAUUUCUCAAAGAGACCAAAAACCCAAUUUAUGAGAGCGAAAUAGACACACAUGAGAUAUUGAUAAGACUCACUUUUAACAAUAUCUAAAAUAAUAUGUCCUACAAUAUUUCACUUGUGUUUAUCUUUUUCAUAAACUUUGUUCUACAUUUUUUGAAGAUAUAGGGAAAAAUUCAUCUCCAACGAUCUACAUUUUGUGUCCAAAAGAUUCUAAAUCAUCCAUUUCAUGUUUUAAAAGUUCAAAAAAUUGUUUUUUUCAAUAAGCAUUUAUAAUUUUAGAUUAUUUAUUAUGUUUCUGAAAACAAAAGUCAACAAUAACUUUGUUUCAAACAACCGUUAACAAUAACUUGUAAGUUUUGAAAACACAAGUUAACAAUAACUUUGUUUCAAACAACAGUUAGCAAUAACCUAUUAAAAACAAAUAAUUUAUGAUGACAAGGAAAAAGGUGCAGAUGCAAAUCAACAUCAUUCCAUGAAUGUAAGGUGUGAAACCAAGUUGAGAGAUUUGAGAAUUUGGCAAACAACAAUUGUAGGCGGGACGGUAGUGAUGGUCUACCACUUACUCAUCAAGUCAAAAUUUCACAUUAUUUUAUAUUAUUGUAAUAUCUUAGACAUUUAUCAAAGAAAUAAUUGUUUGUAAAGCAUAACUCAACUGACAAUGUCGAAGUUGUAAAGUUGGAUGCCUUUAUCCAGAAUUUUAAAGUAUGUGUGAAUUUUAGUGGUAUUCAUCAUUUCAUCUACAUACAAAAAAAAGGUUUAAUUUACCUAUAUUAUCAAUCAAAAUAUUUUAAUAAUCAAUCACAUAGUCACAUAAUUCACAAUUCGUGUUGGUACGUGGUACGUUUCCUCUUACGCAACAUGAGAAAAACUCAGUAUGUAUCGGUUCACAGUACUAGUACUAUCUUGAUUAAAUAUAAUAAGCUAUUUUAAUAUUGCAAAAAAGUUGCUAACGAUACGUUGAUUCUUGGAGUAAAGAGUUGGGCGAACAUUCAGGCUAUGCGAGCGGUUUUAGUUUUUUUGAGGCUAUAUCUGGCUUGAAAGUAAAUUUUCAUAAAAGCAUGUUGGUGGGUGUCAAUGUCUCUGAUUCCUGGUUGAAUGAGGCUUCCUCUGUCCUCCAUUGUCGAGUGGGGAAAGUGUCGUUUGUAUUUGGGUCUCUCUAUUGGUGGUGAUUUGCGUCGAUUGAUUUUUUGGGAACCUCUUUUGCGUAGCAUUAAAUUGAGACUGUCACGUUUCAAUGGUCGGUUUUUAUCGUUUGGUGGCCAGUUAGUUCUCCUAAAUUCUGUAUUGACCUCUCUUCCUAUUUAUGCUCUUUCCUUCUUCAAGGCUCCGUCAGGUAUAAUUUCUUCCAUUGAUUCUAUUUUUUCUAAUUUUUUUUUUUUUUUUGGGGGGGGGGGGGGUGAUGUGAGGAUCAUAGGAAACUCUCUUGGGUUAGUUGGACCACUAUUUGUUCUCGGCAGGAGUUUGGAGGUUUGGGGGUGCAGAAGAUGAGGGAGUUUAAUGUUGCGUUGUUAGGUAAAUGGUGUUGGCGGUUAUUGGUAGAGAGGAGUAGUUUAUGGUAUAGGGUUUUGAUGGUGAGGAGGGUGGGAGGUUGGGGGCCAGAGUGGUUCUUCUUGGUGGAGAGAAAUCGCUAACAUUAGGGAUGGGGUGGCGGUUUCUGGUGGGUGACGGGGUAGAUACUUUAUUUUGGCAUGAUAUGUGGGUUGGUGAUGUGUCGUUUUGUGUGCGCUUCAGGUGCCUUUUUGACCUUGCGAUAGAUAAGUCUUGUUCGGUUGCGUACAUGUUCUCUAAUGGGUGGGGGUGUUGGGGAGAGGGAUGGAGAUGGAGGCGGCGGUUGUGGGUGUGGGAGGAUGAGAUGCUGGGGGAGUGUAUUAUUUUACUUCGUAAUUGAUGACAGUCAAUCAUUCGUUAUUUUUAGAGUCUUUUUAUGAUAUUUUUGAGUUCACAAGCAAGAUUAAGCAGCAAGAAAAAACUGAAGAAGCUGAAAAAGAGCAUCGUGUCACGAUUACUGAAAAACGUGUCCCGAUUUGGAGCUUUCAAGAAAUAUGUAUUCGACAUUGGUAAAAACAUGUCACGAUGGCGAAAACGUGACACAAUUAUGGGAACCCUAAUUUGGGUGGUUUGUUACAGAAGGCAGAAACGUGUCAUGAUUUACUUAAAUCGUGCCACGAUUUUAGGAGCAGUUCUUGCCUAUUUAAGCUGAAGACUAUUCUGAAAACAAGGGUUACAAAUUGGAGAGAGUCAAGUGGGAUUUUGAGACCUAAAGACGGCUAGGAGGGCGAUUUCUUCAACCUUCUAUCAGUACAUGUAUGUUUUGAUUCCACUAUUGAUUAUGCUAUUUGUAAAUUCAAUUAUGAGUAGCUAAAUCUCUUAGAGAUUAGGUCUGAGAUGAUUCUUUGUAACCCUAAUUGAACCAUGUUGUUGUGAAACUCUAUUUAUUGUGAAUAACAAUCUAGUUUUUAUUCAAUUCAAUUGUUCUUAAUGCUUUUUAUAUCUGAUCAAAUAUAAACAUGAUUUAGUGAGAAUGAAUGACUACUGACCAUAGCUUUCUACUUAGACAGAAUUGAACUGUUCUAAUAAACAGGGUUAGUCUAGGAAUGGAUAAUCGUUUGUUAGUGAUAUUAGGUUAGCGUGCUUAAACCUUCAAAGAUUAUUAGACCACCUAAGGAAUUAGGGACUAUAGUUUGAGACGAGGGUCCUAAGUUAAAGGAUUGAUUAUGACUAUUUUGUUAACUAUCGUGGAACUAGAAAAUCAUUCAUAAGAAUAGGUGCAAUAUACCAAUUAGGGGAACAUAGAUGAUUCGAAAGACCUGAUCUCAUCUCUCUUCAUAUUUUCUAACCAAAUCUAUAUUUUCUAACUGAAUCUUUAUUUUAUGUUAUUUAAUUUUAUGCAAUCAAAUCAAAUCUAAACAAAAUAAUUUAUACAUCCUAAAUAUUUACUUUAUUGCUAAAUUGAGAUUAACACAGUCCUCGUGGAUACGAACUUAUUUUAUUACUUCGAUAUAUUUUUAGUACACUUGCUAAAAUUCUAUCAGUAAUGUUUCUUUGCAGUUUAAUGUGAAAGAUACAUGGAGAUGGGCGCUAGAUCAUUCUGCAGGUUAUACAGUCAGGAGUGCCUAUCAGUUGUUGACUUCUCAGGAUAGCCAUCAGGUGGAAGGUGUUGGUGCUUUGGUUUGGCACAAUCAUGUUCCGCUUAAGGUCUCAAUUUUUGCUUGGAGGUUGAUGAAGAAUCGUUUGCCUUUAAGGCAAAAUCUGGUGCAUCGUGGUAUCCUUUGACACCGCUGCUGGUUGUUUGUUAGGGUGCGACGCUUUAGAGUCUUCUCAGCAUUUAUUCAUUUCUUGUGAUUAUUAUGGCACGUUGUGGUCUCGGGUUCAGUCUUGACUUGGUAUCUCAGGUCCAGAUCCCAUUAUUGUUUCAGAGCACUUCCUUCAGUUUACUCAUUCAGCAGGUGGGGUGCGAGCUCGGCGCUCUCUUAUGCAGCUUGUUUGGUUGCUUUGUGCGUGGAUCAUUUGGAAUGACUGUAAUCAAAGGUUGUUUAAUAAUAUAGGUAGUUCCAUUGAUUAGUUGUUGGAUAAAGUGAAGCGACACUCUUUGUGUUGGCUAAAAGCUAGUAAUGUCGUUUUUGUUUUUGGUUCUGAUUUGUGGUGGUCAAGGCCCUUGGAUUGUUUGGAUCUUGCCUAAUUUUUGUUGGACACCUUGUACUAGGGAGAGUUCUUGGUUUGUUAAUAUAUAAGUUUCAUUUUUGUUUGUUCAAAAAAAAUAUUGAAAAAAAGUAAAAAAAAUUAUAGUAGCCACAUCAAACUAGUGUCCACUUUCCGAAGUAUUUUUUUUAUAUUCACUUUUUUCUUUUUUACGGUGUUAUUUUGCAAGAGACGUUCUCUUUCUCCAAACUUUAAAUAGGUUUUCCCGCAAAAAUUAUUUGCUACAACAGAGGUUUUUCUUUCUCUUUUAUUUCCUACUAAACCUAUUCUUCAUCUUUCUUUGAUCUUUACCGUUUGUCUCGGUUUGUCAGUUUUCAUGAAUUACAAGAGACUUUGUAUGAAUCAUUUCGCGAAAGUACCACAAACUGGUACGCAAGUAACAAUUUGAGAUUCGCAACAUUAUUAAGAGAAUUAUGUGACUAUGAUCAAUUAAAACUUUUUAACUCUAAUCAUAACUACUUAUAAAAUCAUAAAUACAUACGACUGUUAUUUGUUUACGAGAAAUGAUAUUUGUACAUCUACUUUAUGACAACUUUCUCUCUCAUACUCACAUUAUGUUUUUAUUCUCUCUCUUCCUUUUUCUCUCUCCAUUGUUUUUGACCAAUGAAAAGUGAGAAAAAAGAAGUUGUACCAAAAGUUGUCUAAAAUGGUUGUUCAAAUAUCACCGCUCUUUGUUUACCGUGUAUAACCUAUUUCCACUUGCAAAGACUAUGGUUACUAAAUAAGUCAAAGUAUACACCUACAUGCAUCAUGUGAACAUGUGAGUGGGGUCAAGAUAUUUUAGUACAAUGAUUGAAUAAUAUUGUGUGGUCUUUUAAUGAGUUUGUAACUUGUAUACAAAUUUUAUUAAUAAAGAACCUUUUUGAUGAUAAUAGGACACACAGAGGGACAGUGCAUUACAGAUAUGCAUUUUUAGCAAAUGCAUUCACACCACAUGAACACGCAAAAACGUUUGCAAUUCGCAAGCAUCGACAUCUUUUCACACCAAACUUCAAUCAAAAUCCAAUUAUUUGCAUGGACAUUGCUACUUUAAAUAAACACUUCACUCUUCUUGUCUUUCCAUCUUCCUUUUACAUAUAUACGAUAGGAAGGAAUAUCUUGGUUUGGUAGUGACAUUACAAUAAAAAAACAUGGACAAGGAACUUCAACUUUGUUCUGUUGACGAUGAUGAAAUGGUUUCUCAACAACCUCAAAGACGCAAGGGUGGUCUUAUCACCAUGCCUUUCAUCAUUGGUCUGUUAUCUAUCUAUCCGUUUAUCUAUAUAUCUAGUACAUAUCACUCUAUUAAACUAUGGAGUCAUCGUCGAUCUCUCUGAUUCAGCAGAGAUGGACGAUGACUUAGGUGUUACUAGUGUAAUCUUGAACAAGAUCUUUACUAGUUAUACUUAUACUUGGUCAUUCACAUUAAAGAGAAUAUUUGGAUUGAAUUUUGUUGUAUAAUAUAUGGUUUUAUUGUUGCAGCUAAUGAGGCACUUGCAAGGAUGGCAAGUUUGGGACUAUUGCCCAAUAUGAUAUUGUAUUUCAUGGGAAGUUACAGGCUUCAUCUUGCCAAAGCUACUCAGAUUCUUCUCUUAUCCUCUGCAGCUAGCAAUUUCACACCUGUGGUUGGUGCUUUUAUUGCAGAUUCUUAUCUCGGUCGGUUCCUCGGUGUUGGAUUAGGUUCAUUUGUCAGCUUCCUGGUAUGUAUAGAUAUUCAUUUUUCCUCUACUUUGUAUUCUUUCUUACUCCAUUGUGUUUUUCUUAUCUUUUGACUUUAAUGAAUAUGCAUAUGAAUUCAGUUCAAUUGUUUCCUUGGUACUUUUGUUCAACAAUGAUAGAUUGAAGCUUUUUGAGUAAUUUGUUUUUUUAGGUGGGUGAGGUUGAGAUUUUCUAAAAGAGAAGGAAAAGUUGAUAAUUUUGUUUCUGAUAUGAUUACAACAAUACAAUAGAAAAGUUGAUAAUUAUUAAUGUAUGUAUGUAUGAGAUUCUGUUAAAAGUCUAAUAGUAUUCCUUUUUUUUUUUUUUUUUCAUGAUUGAAAAUUGGAUGUUGAGAUGGUGAUAUUAAUAUAUUCCCUUGUAUGAAAAAGAAAGAAUUACAAAAAGGGAUAAAAUUCCAUCAAAUCUUGGUAGGUAUAUUCAAUUAAUAUUCUGAAAUUAGUUCUGUAAUGAGAAAAGUGUGCAAAAAUGCCUCUCUUUAUUGAGUUUUUGAUAUCAUUAACUGCAAUACAAUGGAAAAGUUUAUCUGAUAAAGUAUGAGAUUCUGCUCAAGUCUCAUCUGAUUCCUUAUUAUGAUUCAAAACUAAGAUGUUGAUAUAGUGAUAGAUUCCCUUGUAUGAAAAAGGUAGAAUCAUAAAAAGGGAAAAGUUCCAAAAAAUUUGGUAGGCAUAUUCAAUUUCAAUCAAUAUUCUGAGCCAAAAUUAGUGCUGUAAUGAAAAAAGUUGGUAACAAUGUUUCUUUUUUCUUUUUGUAAUAGGGAAUGGGAAUGUUGUGGUUAACAGCCAUGAUCCCAGCGGCACGGCCGCCUCCGUGCAACAAUCCAACAAAAGGCUGUAAAUCAGCAACAACAGGUCAAAUGGCAAUGUUACUCUCCGCCUUUGGUCUCAUGUCAAUAGGAAAUGGUGGUCUUUCAUGUUCCAUAGCAUUUGGUGCAGACCAAGUGAAUAGAAAAGAUAAUCCCAAUAAUCAUAGGGUUUUGGAAAUAUUCUUCAGUUGGUAUUAUGCUUUCACAACUAUUUCUAUCAUACUAGCUCUCACUGUAAUUGUAUAUAUCCAAGAGCAUCUUGGUUGGAAAAUUGGUUUUGGUGUUCCAGCAGCACUCAUGCUUUUAUCUACUAUCUGUUUCUUUCUUGCUUCUCCUCUUUAUGUCAAGAUCACAAAAAGAACCAGCUUGAUUACUGGUUUUGCACAAGUCACUACUGCUGCUUAUAAGAACAGAAAACUUCAAUUACCACCUAAGAACUCACCUCAAUUUUACCAUCACAAAAAGGACUCAGAUCUUGAUCUUGUUAUUCCAACUGAUAAACUAAGGUAUAUAGAAUUAAAUUACCAUCCUUUUAGCUUUUGUAUAUUCUGUAUAUGUGGAUUAAAUCAGUUUUGUUAUUUGAACAAAUACACUUUGACAAUUUUUGCGACAAUAAUCUAAGUGGUUAUCACAGUUCUAAUAGGUGGAUAAUUACAUUGAGUAGAUGAUGUCGAUACUCAUUAACCAUUAAAGUAACUUCAUUAAUCACAAAUUUGGGCAUGAUUUACCACAGUUUUUAGAGGUUCAAGUUAACAUGUACUUUAAGACCUGAUACGUCCAAAUUUGUGGUUAAUGAUGUUAUUGGUGGUUAAUGAGUUCCAAACUUGGUAUAUCCAUUAACCAUCUACCGAGCGUAAUUGACGAAUAAUUUGAACCGCAUUAAACAUAUACAAAGCUGUUAAGAAAGCAGUCUAAAUUUGGUUGUAUGAAAAUCAUUUCUUAGAUUAAACAUUUGAUUUCAUCAGCUUAUUCUUUUCAUUUUCAGGUUUCUGAACAAAGCUUGUGUUAUUAAGGAUCAUGAAAAAGAUAUAGCCUCAGAUGGUUCAGCAAUAAAUCCUUGGAGACUCUGCACAGUAGAUCAAGUAGAAGAACUAAAAGCCCUUGUUAGAGUUAUUCCAUUAUGGUCUACAGGGAUCAUGAUGUCUCUUAACAUUGGUGGAUCAUUUGGAUUGCUGCAAGCUAAAUCCUUAGACAGACAUAUCACCUCAAACUUUGAAGUACCAGCAGGAUCUUUUAGUGUUAUCAUGGUAGGUUCAAUAUUUAUAUGGAUAGUACUCUACGACCGUGUUCUUAUUCCUCUAGCAUCAAAGCUAAGAGGGAAACCAGUUAGGAUCAGUCCAAAGAUAAGAAUGGGAAUUGGGUUGUUUUUAAAUUUUCUCCACUUGGUAACUGCAGCUGCUUUUGAGAGUAUAAGGAGAAAAAAAGCAAUUCAGGCAGGAUUUUUGAAUGAUACUCAUGGCGUGUUGAAAAUGUCUGCAUUGUGGCUUGCACCUCAACUUUGUUUGGGUGGUAUAAGCGAAGCAUUCAAUGCUAUUGGCCAAAAUGAAUUCUAUUACAAAGAGUUUCCGAGGACUAUGUCUAGUAUUUCUGCUUCCCUUUGUGGAUUGGGAAUGGCUGCAGGAAACUUGGUAUCUUCUUUU